UACAGAGGUCCCAAGCGUUGUUCGGAUUCACUGGGCGUAAAGGGUGCGUAGGCGGUCGGGGAAGUCUGAUGUGAAAUCUCACAGCUUAACUGUGAAACUGCAUUGGAUACUAUCCGGCUCGAGGAAUGGAGGGGAGACUGGAAUACUUGGUGUAGCAGUGAAAUGCGUAGAUAUCAAGUGGAACACCAGUGGCGAAGGCGGGUUGCUGGGCUGACACUGACGCUGAUGCGCGAAAGCUAGGGGAGCGAACGGG
This 253-nucleotide ribosomal RNA is filed under the name uncultured bacterium. RNAcentral's name for it is "partial 16S ribosomal RNA". It matches the Rfam family "Bacterial small subunit ribosomal RNA", at positions 524 to 776 of the family's 1533-position model. The record is from RNAcentral.